RNAcentral lists this ribosomal RNA (497 nucleotides) under uncultured bacterium. RNAcentral's name for it is "partial 16S ribosomal RNA". It matches the Rfam family "Bacterial small subunit ribosomal RNA", at positions 28 to 507 of the family's 1533-position model. The record is from RNAcentral.
GAUGAACGCUGGCGGCGUGCCUAAUACAUGCAAGUCGAGCGAACAGACGAGGAGCUUGCUCCUCUGACGUUAGCGGCGGACGGGUGAGUAACACGUGGAUAACCUACCUAUAAGACUGGGAUAACUUCGGGAAACCGGAGCUAAUACCGGAUAAUAUAUUGAACCGCAUGGUUCAAUAGUUAAAUACGGUUUUGCUGUCACUUAUAGAUGGAUCCGCGCCGCAUUAGCUAGUUGGUAAGGUAACGGCUUACCAAGGCAACGAUGCGUAGCCGACCUGAGAGGGUGAUCGGCCACACUGGAACUGAGACACGGUCCAGACUCCUACGGGAGGCAGCAGUAGGGAAUCUUCCGCAAUGGGCGAAAGCCUGACGGAGCAACGCCGCGUGAGUGAUGAAGGUCUUCGGAUCGUAAAACUCUGUUAUUAGGGAAGAACAAAUGUGUAAGUAACUAUGCACGUCUUGACGGUACCUAAUCAGAAAGCCACGGCUAACUACGUG